Molecule: transfer RNA, 66 nt
Filed under: Acrossus rufipes
Lineage: Eukaryota; Metazoa; Arthropoda; Insecta; Coleoptera; Scarabaeidae
Description: Aphodius rufipes tRNA-Pro
Source: RNAcentral
CAGAGAAUAGUUUAAUUAAAAAUUUUAAUUUUGGAGAUUAAAGAUAGGAAGUUUUCCUUUCUCUGA